CACAUGACUCUCGGCAAUGGAUAUCUUGGCUCUCGCAUCGAUGAAGAACGUAGCAAAAUGCGAUACCUGGUGUGAAUUGCAGAAUCCCGUGAACCAUAGAGUUUUUGAAUGCAAGUUGCGCCCGAUGCCUUCUGGCUGAGGGCACGUCUGCCUGGGCGUCACGC
Molecule: ribosomal RNA, 164 nt
Filed under: Neostapfia colusana
Lineage: Eukaryota; Viridiplantae; Streptophyta; Magnoliopsida; Poales; Poaceae
Description: 5.8S ribosomal RNA
Rfam family: 5.8S ribosomal RNA
About the family: 5.8S ribosomal RNA (5.8S rRNA) is a component of the large subunit of the eukaryotic ribosome.
Source: RNAcentral